CACCAAUCUCCCAUGUUAUCUAAGCACUCCUUGGAUUGUUUAAUAACUAAAUCAGGACCCUCGACUGACUUUGUUAGUUUGCCAUCCGUUAUAACACAGGCAAUUUCCAAAAUACGAUCAACUCCAACAUCCAAACCCGUCAUUUCCAAGUCAAUCCACACAAGAGGCAUUCUAUACUCCUCUGAAUGUGUCAAAUUAUUUUUCUGAAGGUUUUCAUCAACUUUCAAG
Molecule: unclassified non-coding RNA, 228 nt
Filed under: Hevea brasiliensis (rubber tree)
Lineage: Eukaryota; Viridiplantae; Streptophyta; Magnoliopsida; Malpighiales; Euphorbiaceae
Source: RNAcentral